UACGGAGGAGGCUAGCGUUGUUCGGAAUUACUGGGCGUAAAGCGCACGUAGGCGGAUUAGUAAGUCAGGGGUGAAAUCCCGGGGCGCAACCUCGGAACUGCCUUUGAUACUGCUGAUCUCGAGUCCGGAAGAGGUGAGUGGAAGUCCUAGUGUAGAGGUGAAAUUCGUAGAUAUUAGGAAGAACACCAGUGGCGAAGGCGGCUCACUGGUCCGGUACUGACGCUGAGGUGCGAAAUCGUGGGGAGCAAACAGG
This 253-nucleotide ribosomal RNA is filed under the name uncultured bacterium. RNAcentral describes it as "partial 16S ribosomal RNA". It matches the Rfam family "Bacterial small subunit ribosomal RNA", at positions 524 to 776 of the family's 1533-position model. The record is from RNAcentral.